AGUUGGGCACUCUAAUGAGACUGCCGGUGACAAACCGGAGGAAGGUGGGGAUGACGUCAAGUCCUCAUGGCCCUUAUGGGUAGGGCUUCACACGUCAUACAAUGGUCGGUACAGAGGGUUGCCAAGCCGCGAGGUGGAGCCAAUCCCAGAAAGCCGAUCGUAGUCCGGAUCGUAGUCUGCAACUCGACUACGUGAAGUCGGAAUCGCUAGUAAUCGCGGAUCAGCAUGUCGCGGUGAAUACGUUCCCGGGUCUUGUACACACCGCCCGUCACACCAUGGGAGCGGGUUCUACCAGAAGCAGUUAGCCUAACCGCAAGGAGGGCGAUUGCCACGGUAGGAUUCGUGACUGGGGUGAAGUCGUAACAAGGUAGCCGUAUCGGAAGGUGC
Molecule: ribosomal RNA, 387 nt
Filed under: uncultured bacterium SA24
Lineage: Bacteria
Description: bacterial SSU rRNA
Rfam family: Bacterial small subunit ribosomal RNA
Source: RNAcentral